GCCCGGCUCGCUCAGUUGGGAGAGCAUGAAACUCUUAACUUCAGCGUCGUGGGUUCGAGCCCCAUGCUGGGCG
Rhincodon typus (whale shark) is the source of this 73-nucleotide non-coding RNA. NCBI's taxonomy places the organism in Eukaryota, Metazoa, Chordata, Chondrichthyes, Orectolobiformes, Rhincodontidae. The record is from the annotation of a RefSeq genome assembly.